UUUAACUGAAGAGUUUGAUCAUGGCUCAGAUUGAACGCUGGCGGCAGGCUUAACACAUGCAAGUCGAGCGGGGGA
Molecule: ribosomal RNA, 75 nt
Filed under: Acinetobacter baumannii
Lineage: Bacteria; Pseudomonadati; Pseudomonadota; Gammaproteobacteria; Moraxellales; Moraxellaceae
Also listed under: 1 other name
Description: partial 16S ribosomal RNA
Rfam family: Bacterial small subunit ribosomal RNA
Source: RNAcentral